ACGAGUUUUAAUUGUUAGGUUAGAGUUGAGCUGGUUAAUCUAAUUAAUAUGUGCUUACUCUAAUCGAAACAAGUCCACUCAUUACUUAACACUUGUGAACUUAUUCAUUACAAACAUUAUUAUUUGUUAUUGGAACGUUUGAUUAUUAAAAAGUUAAUAUAACUUUCAACAACGGAUCUCUUGGCUCUCGCAUCGAUGAAGAACGCAGCGAAAUGCGAUAAGUAAUGUGAAUUGCAGAAUUCAGUGAAUCAUCGAAUCUUUGAACGCACCUUGCGCUCCCUGGUAUUCCGGGGAGCAUGCCUGUUUGAGUGUCGUGAAGUUGUCAUGGUCAUGAUCUUUAAUUAAUCAUGGCUUGGAUUUGGAGGUUUAUGUUGGCUUUCUUAAGUUGACUCCUCUUAAAUGUAUUAGCUCGGUGUCUUAAUACUUAGAGCAGGUUCACGGUGUGAUAAUUAUCUACACUUCAACUAAUCUAAGUUAAGCCGGCUUCUAAUAGAUCCUUGGUGAUCACUUUGUGAAUUUGACCUCAAAUCAGGUAGGACUACCCGCUGAACUUAAGCAUAUCAAUAAGCGGAGGAUCGUACGCUUGGUCAUUUAGAGGAAGUAAAAGUCGUAACAAGGUCUCCGUUGGUGAACCAGCGGAGGGAUCAUUACCGAGUUUACAACUCCCAAACCCAUGUGAACAUACCUACUGUUGCUUCGGCGGGAUUGCCCCGGGCGCCCCGUGUGCCCCGGAUCAGGCGCCCGCCUAGGAAACUUAACUCUUGUUUUAUUUUGGAAUCUUCUGAGUAGUUUUUACAAAUAAAUAA
RNAcentral lists this unclassified non-coding RNA (806 nucleotides) under soil metagenome. RNAcentral's name for it is "partial contains internal transcribed spacer 1, 5.8S ribosomal RNA, and internal transcribed spacer 2". The stretch from base 161 to 314 matches the Rfam family "5.8S ribosomal RNA". The record is from RNAcentral.